CGGUCCAACUCGGACACUACGGUUCCUGCGCGCUGUCCACGCUCGCCUGAUACCUGUCCGCAUGGCGUUGUUAGCC
RNAcentral lists this small RNA (76 nucleotides) under Xanthomonas dyei pv. dysoxyli. Its description in RNAcentral is "sX9 sRNA". It matches the Rfam family "Xanthomonas sRNA sX9". RNAcentral also lists the same sequence under 1 other name. The record is from RNAcentral. Lineage: Bacteria; Pseudomonadati; Pseudomonadota; Gammaproteobacteria; Lysobacterales; Lysobacteraceae.